UCUGCAGGAUAUGUCAUUCUGGAAAUAUGUCUAUUAGCUGCAUUUAAAUCAAGCAAGCCUACAGAUUUCAACAGUUUCGCAGAUGUUUGUUAUUAUGCAAUGCAUCACGUGUCCCUCUCUGUAGUUCCAGACAGAUUUUGACAUGCUUGUUCCUCUCCAAAAGCUCCAGUGUGGUUUCUCUCUGACGUGUCAUCUGCUGGCAGGUGUUCAGAAAUGUGCUGUAUGUGCUUCUGAAUUACACAGCCCACAUCACUGUGCAGUAGAGGACCAAGGAACAGGGUGCAAACAUGAAAGAGAGAAGUGGAGUUUUUCUCAUGUGGAAAAUGCUGCUGGUGGGGAUGUGCCUGCUGCUGCUCCUGAGCUCUGCAGGUUUAGUGUUUCUGUUGUUUCGGCAGAAAGAGUUGGCAGACGAGCUGGGCAAGCUGGAGUCCCAGAUGCAGGAGCUGACACAGAGCUGCAGCGUGCGAGCGGGAAUCCUGCCCACCAACCUGGGACAGGCCAGAGAGUUUAGGAAGCUCCACCGCAGCAGGAGAAACCAGGAAGGAGACCCAACACAAAGCCAAGAUCAGAAGGAUAUGCUGAUGCUCAUGACAUACUCUAUGGUCCCUGUCAAGCCUUCAUAGACAUGUGUAAUAGCUCCAGAGGAAUUUGUUUAACAGGCCCACCUGGACCCCAGGU
Archocentrus centrarchus (flier cichlid) is the source of this 678-nucleotide long non-coding RNA. RefSeq lists it as uncharacterized. The transcript has 3 exons. The record is from RefSeq and is a predicted model, not a curated record. NCBI's taxonomy places the organism in Eukaryota, Metazoa, Chordata, Actinopteri, Cichliformes, Cichlidae.